RNAcentral lists this long non-coding RNA (3064 nucleotides) under Heterocephalus glaber (naked mole-rat). RNAcentral's name for it is "lncRNA (ENSHGLG00100047706.1)". Lineage: Eukaryota; Metazoa; Chordata; Mammalia; Rodentia; Bathyergidae. The record is from RNAcentral.
CUGCAGAUAGUAAGGGCUCGGAUUUCUUCUUCCGCCCUGGCGGCCCGGAGACUUCCUCAGAGCCUGUGUUGCCAGGCAGGCCAGCCCUCAUUACUCCGUUUCCCAGGGCCCCGCAUUUUAGUUCUACGACUUUGAAACGUGUUGCCUUCCACGUUCUCCCUGGAAAGAAGCAGGCUAUCAUUAAUGACAGAAUAGAAAACAAAAGACCCUUAAUUUGGCCAUGUAUGAAGCUAUUUCAGAAAUGGGUCCUGCUCUGUUAAGCCUCCGGACAACAGCCACCCCUGCCAACCUCCUGACUGCAAACUCAGGGCGCUGGUGCCACCAGCAGUGAAUAACAGAAUGAGACAGGAGAAAAGGGCUCAAGGCUCCUCAACAGGUCCUUCUUAUUUUUAUUUUGUAGCUGCCCCAAAGCCUUGCAGCCAGCCCAGCUGCACCAGGCACCUCACAGCCUCUUCAGAAGAUGUUUGCUUUGGCUGCAGCAGGCUUUGGCUGCAGCAGGCUUUGGCUGCGGACAUAUCCAGGAUGACUGCCCUGUGGCCCUUCUGGGUGACCCUGCCCCUCUGGAGCCCUUCUCAGUCAGGUGCACAAAGGGCCCUUUCUCUACCUGUGGCCACCUAUAUAAACUACCUCCCCAUACCCUUAGCAGGUUCAGUCUUCUGCUGUUCCCCCUUGCACUGCAGUAUAAGUCCUAAUAGAGCCUCUUCUGCAUGGCAUAUUUUUGCAUACUUGUGAUUUCUAUUUUGAGCAGUGCUUGGUGAGCUGGUAACACUAAGAGCUGGUAACACCAAAUGCCUCUGAUACUGCAAGUGGCCAGAGCCCAGAACGGGUAAGUCUAAAGGCUGCUGGUGCUGAAAGUGGCCAGCAGCUGAGGCUCUUAGUACUAAAGGCAGCUCACAGCCAGAGCAUUGGAGAGCGGCAGAGUAUUGCAGCACCAGCCAUCUCUGGUCUCUGGAAGAAUUCCCAAGACCUGCUGGUAGUUGUAGCCACUAGCAUUCAUAGCUCAGGGCAGUGAACACUAAAAGAGCUACACUGUGCCAAUUAGUGACUUCUGUAUGAAUUGAUCAAGAACCCACAGCCAUUUGUAACAUCUCAGAAGCCUGUACAGGGUCCCUGCCCUUUAGAGGGCCCUGAAGAAGAAGGCAGCCAAUGGUGAUGGUUCUAGUGGUUCAAGAAUUGGCCCAGGCCUGAUUUCUAUCUUAAGAAUCCACAAUAGUCAGUGACAGUAUGAGGAUGAAUGGGGAACAGGUAGGCAGGUGUCCUAGGCAAGGUCUGGAUUAAAGUGGCUUAUAAUUUAUAUCAUAUACCUGGUGGUCAUUUCCUUGAUUCCUGAAUGUAUAAUUGGGGUUGAUGCACUUAGAACAAGUGUAAUACCCACAUGAAGUCCUUGGUUUGUGGGAUAGGGCUGUCAGAGGGGGCAAAGCCAAGUUGAGAGCUCACCACCCCCAGUCAAGGGUGUAGACUAAAAACAACAUUCAUCCUGCAGGCAUGGCCAUUAAUGCAAUGCUGUCCUUCAGCAUCCAAAGGACUCAGGUAGUGGUUCCCGUCACAUCUCCAUUGAGCUCACCUGCUUGGUCUCAGCAGAAACAGGCACAACCUGGCAGUUGGAUGUGACUACCAUAUAUGUGACCAUACAGCCCCGCUGGCAACUGCCUUGCCAGAUGUGGGGUCUGCUGGAGAAGAGGGGCCCCGCUGCAGAUACUGAGCACACAAACACCCAUCAGGCAGAAGAUGCAUUCUCUUCUAAUCCAGUUCUUUUUUUUUGGUACCAGGGAUUGAACUCAGGACCUUGCGGUUGCAACACAGGCGGCAGCACCGCUGAGCUAAAUCCCCAGCCUUCUUCUAAUCCAGCUGGGAGAGGAAGACGCAACAGCUCACAUGGGGUGAACUGGGCACUAGUAUAAUUUGCAGCUUUGCCCAGGAUUAUAACGAAUUUCCUGUCCUCUUUCAUAUUAUAGUUUGAAGAGAUCCAGACUCUUAAUGUCUGCAGGACACAACAAUAUUGUGCUGUAAGGGCCAGUGCAGUGGCCUGGCUCAUCCUUGAAAGCAGGCUUGACACUCACCUCUGCAUCUCAGCUGACAGCCACGGAGCAGUGCUUGCUUCACAACAGAUUGAUGAGGCUGGGACUGCCUAGCUCGGGAGAUCCGUGCCCAAGACCAGACAGCCUCAGUCCUCAUCACUGCUGCCGCCGCCCAGGGACUUCAUGGUGCUGACCGGAGGGUUAACAACAGAAGGUCCCCAGAUGCCCCAGCCUGACAGUGAUGAUUCCAAGGCGGAAGAAGGGAGGGCUGUGCGGACGGCCUGGGCCUCCCUGUAGCACCCAGCACACUGCUGUGAGGACACGGCCUUCCCCAGACCAACCCAAGCAGACAACCCUUACUGCGAGUGCCUGGGAGCCCACGUGCAGCGCAUCAGUGUACAACCCUGCCACCGCGGCGCCCUUCUCCCGCUAGCUGAACACCCCAUUUACCUGGAGGAGACUCCUCUGGAAUCUACCUCCCCUGCCCAGACCUCUCUGUCGGGACAUCGUCUUGUGCCAGUGUGGUUCCUAGAACCAGCUGAGAAGUACACCUAGGAGCACAGAUGGGUAGAGAUCUUUGGCCUCCUCCACAGGACAUGGAAGGGAUCCGUAUCAUGCCGUGGUCAGUCUGGUUGUCCAGUGACUGACAUCCUCGGAGAUGAGAUAAAACAGAUGCACAGUUUCAUCCAUGGACAAAAUCUCAACACUUUAUUCAUCCCUUGGCAGGGAGAGGGGGGCACUGCCCAGUCAGGUGGGGUGGCUGGGAUAUGUGUUGUCUAAAUUCCAGAUAGUAUACACAGCACUGAUCAUGCAGAAACAGGAAGGGAAGCAAUAAGUUAAAAGCCACAUAAGUUAUGAAAAAAUAAUAUAUACUUUAUAUAUCUCAUCCCACUGAGGAUUUGCUCCCUUGGAAACCAAUAAAGAGCCCGAGAGAAAGCAGCAAUCAGCACCCUCUUUGGGGACAUCAGGGAUGAACAGCUGGCCCAGCUCCCUUUGGCCUGAAAGAGUUGGUGGCCCAUCAGCACUGCCAAGGCCUUAGCCCACCC